This 450-nucleotide ribosomal RNA is filed under the name uncultured bacterium. Its description in RNAcentral is "bacterial SSU rRNA". It matches the Rfam family "Bacterial small subunit ribosomal RNA", at positions 29 to 524 of the family's 1533-position model. The record is from RNAcentral.
AGCGAACGCUGGCGGCAGGCUUAACACAUGCAAGUCGAACGGGCGUAGCAAUACGUCAGUGGCAGACGGGUGAGUAACGCGUGGGAACGUACCUUUGGUUCGGAACAACCCAGGGAAACUUGGGCUAAUACCGGAUAAGCCCUUACGGGGAAAGAUUUAUCGCCGAAAGAUCGGCCCGCGUCUGAUUAGCUAGUUGGUGUGGUAACGGCGCACCAAGGCGACGAUCAGUAGCUGGUCUGAGAGGANGAUCAGCCACAUUGGGACUGAGACACGGCCCAAACUCCUACGGGAGGCAGCAGUGGGGAAUAUUGGACAAUGGGCGCAAGCCUGAUCCAGCCAUGCCGCGUGAGUGAUGAAGGCCCUAGGGUUGUAAAGCUCUUUUGUGCGGGAAGAUAAUGACGGUACGCAAGAAUAAGCCCCGGCUAACUUCGUGCCAGCCGCCGCGGUAAC